Molecule: long non-coding RNA, 1193 nt
Filed under: Monodelphis domestica (gray short-tailed opossum)
Lineage: Eukaryota; Metazoa; Chordata; Mammalia; Didelphimorphia; Didelphidae
Description: lncRNA (ENSMODG00000037904.1)
Source: RNAcentral
CCCCACCCGUGAGCUGGGCCAGUGAAACGGGGAGGGUGGCCACGGGCUAGGAAAAUCUGGCUUUGGGGACUGGGGAGGCGCAAUGAGGCUUGGAGGGAGAAUGAAGAAGCCGGGGAGAAGAGAAAGAAAGGCUUCCGGUUUCCUUUUCGAGAUUUCGCCCAAAUUUGAAACAAACCAGUAGUGAGCGCGGGCACCAAUAACCGCGGCACUCAAGUGGGGAGUUUCUCUUCUGACGUCUCUUCUGGCGCCCGUUACAAAUAGCCGGGUGGCUGCGCUCGCCUGGAGGAAGAACUCACCAGCAGCUGUGGGGAGGAGGGAAGAGGGGAGAAACAGGACCCGGACCAGAGGGAUGGGGGCGCCCGGGAGCACCAGGUCCCUCGAGGCGUCUCGAGAUGGGUGGAAUCAGUCCUCGCCCCAGAUCAAUUUGGAUGAAAGACAGAGGCUGACUGUAGCUGCUAAAGUAUCUUGGAAGAUUGAAUGAGAUACUACAUCAGUGUGACAGUACUCUUGCAAGGUGUCCUUGGAGUAGAUGCUUAACAGACAGUGGAAUGUGAACUGGGACCUGGAAAGAAAGGGAACUGUCAAAAGACCAAAGAACAACAGUCUGGAAAUAAACUUGAAAAGGAAAAAGAGAGAAAAAAGCCUAGAUGCCUGUGCAGCCAAGAGUGUGUGACUAGCACUUGAAUGGCAGAUAAAGAGACCUGACACCCAGUACGACUCUUCUGCCAUGAUUGUGUUUUCACUGGAGGAAGCUGUUCGUGAACAAAAGGGAAAGAAGCCACUGAUAGAAAAGAGACAGGCAUGUUUUUUUCAUACACAAUAUGCAGGGUAUUUGACACUCAAGAUUUUUAAAGUCACAAUAUACUUUUCCAACUAAAAGUAAACUUCCUCUUGGCAUGUAACCCUGCACUGGAUGAAAUUUAGAUGAAGAUUCUAUCAAAUACAUGGUUCAGAAGUUUGUCAGCUUUGCUUUAAAGAGAAUUUCCUUUUUUUAGAUUGUUACUAUGUCUUGGCAUAUGCCUGCCCUCGUGAUGGUAAGUGUUGCAUUAUUUGUUCAUAGUAUUGCUACUAGUAAUGAAAUGAUAUAAUUAAUAAGGAUAGCUUAAAGUGUCUAAUCUAACACAAUCAAAAUCCACCAAUAGGAAGGUAUAAUUCAUACUUUUAUAUAGCAGUUCAAUGAAUUGACAUUUGAG